RNAcentral lists this non-coding RNA (228 nucleotides) under Amphibacillus xylanus. Its description in RNAcentral is "T-box sequence". It matches the Rfam family "T-box leader". From Rfam's summary of the family: Uncharged tRNA acts as the effector for transcription antitermination of genes in the T-box leader family. T-boxes are found upstream of many aminoacyl-tRNA synthetase genes and some amino acid biosynthetic genes usually in Gram-positive bacteria. Lineage: Bacteria; Bacillati; Bacillota; Bacilli; Caryophanales; Bacillaceae. The record is from RNAcentral.
CGAUAAGUUAUGAUAAGGACAUGAUUAUUAGUCUGAUGUUCAAAAGAGAGGGAAGUCGUGCUGAAAUCUUCCUGUUCAAUCUACUAAUAGUUACCACCUUUGAACUCCAUUUUUGAACAUAAUAGUAGAAAAUGGCGUCACUCUACGUUACAGAGCCUAUGAGCCAAACAAUGGUAUGACUUUGUUUGGGAACGAGGGUGGAACCACGAGUUAAUGCUUGUCCCUUUG